This 253-nucleotide ribosomal RNA is filed under the name uncultured bacterium. Its description in RNAcentral is "partial 16S ribosomal RNA". It matches the Rfam family "Bacterial small subunit ribosomal RNA", at positions 524 to 776 of the family's 1533-position model. The record is from RNAcentral.
UACAGAGGUCUCAAGCGUUGUUCGGAUUCAUUGGGCGUAAAGGGCGCGUAGGCGGCGGGGCAAGUCGGAUGUGAAAUCUCAGGGCUCAACCCUGAAACUGCAUUCGAUACUGCCUUGCUCGAGGACUGGAGAGGAGAUUGGAAUUCACGGUGUAGCAGUGAAAUGCGUAGAUAUCGUGAGGAAGACCAGUGGCGAAGGCGGAUCUCUGGACAGUUCCUGACGCUGAGGCACGAAGGCCAGGGGAGCAAACGGG